This 267-nucleotide long non-coding RNA is filed under the name Spirodela polyrhiza (greater duckweed). RNAcentral describes it as "long non-coding RNA (SPOL_LNC001866)". Lineage: Eukaryota; Viridiplantae; Streptophyta; Magnoliopsida; Alismatales; Araceae. The record is from RNAcentral.
UUUUCAAAAGAAAUAGUGAAAUGUAGUAGAAAAGAUCCUUCAAGAUUAGAAACAACUAAAUGAGAGGCAAACUAAUAUAAAAAGAUUUUCUACUUUGUGGGGGAGAGAAAAUCACAAGAAAAAUAGUAUGUGAAAUAAGUCAAAAAACUUGUAUAGAGAUAUCCAUGAAGAGUAGAAUGAGAAUAUGUUUCAACAUAUUCAUCCUUAAGAAAAAAAUUUGAGAUUGUAGAAAAAUUAAUUUACCCUUAUCUCGGUAUUUCACCUAGC